GACGAACGCUGGCGGCGUGCCUAAUACAUGCAAGUAGAACGCUGAAGAGAGGAGCUUGCUCUUCUUGGAUGAGUUGCGAACGGGUGAGUAACGCGUAGGUAACCUGCCUUGUAGCGGGGGAUAACUAUUGGAAACGAUAGCUAAUACCGCAUAACAAUGGAUGACACAUGUCAUUUAUUUGAAAGGGGCAAUUGCUCCACUACAAGAUGGACCUGCGUUGUAUUAGCUAGUAGGUGAGGUAAUCGCUCACCUAGGCGACGAUACAUAGCCGACCUGAGAGGGUGAUCGGCCACACUGGGACUGAGACACGGCCCAGACUCCUACGGGAGGCAGCAGUAGGGAAUCUUCGGCAAUGGGGGCAACCCUGACCGAGCAACGCCGCGUGAGUGAAGAAGGUUUUCGGAUCGUAAAGCUCUGUUGUAAGUCAAGAACGGGUGUGAGAGUGGAAAGUUCACACUGUGACGGUAGCUUACCAGAAAGGGACGGCUAACUACGUG
RNAcentral lists this ribosomal RNA (497 nucleotides) under uncultured bacterium. Its description in RNAcentral is "partial 16S ribosomal RNA". It matches the Rfam family "Bacterial small subunit ribosomal RNA", at positions 28 to 507 of the family's 1533-position model. The record is from RNAcentral.